GCUAGUAAUGGCAGGUCAGCAUACUGCCGUGAAUACGUUCCCGGGCCUUGUACACACCGCCCGUCACACCAUGAGAGUUGGGGAUACCCGAAGCCUGUGAGCUAACAGUAAUGGAGCAGCAGUCGAAGGUAGAAUCAAUGAUUGGGGUGAAGUCGUAACAAGGUAGC
Molecule: ribosomal RNA, 167 nt
Filed under: uncultured bacterium
Lineage: Bacteria
Description: partial 16S ribosomal RNA
Rfam family: Bacterial small subunit ribosomal RNA
Source: RNAcentral